Long non-coding RNA from Hyla sarda, 809 nucleotides. RefSeq lists it as uncharacterized. Lineage: Eukaryota; Metazoa; Chordata; Amphibia; Anura; Hylidae. The transcript has 3 exons. The record is from RefSeq and is a predicted model, not a curated record.
UCGUCCACAACAGACUCAGAACUGUGGACAACAGUAAAAGAAAACCCUCUGAACUACAGAACUUCCUGCCCAACAAACAGUUGAGUUGCAGAGCUGUCAAUUGUGUGGACUGCGACCUUUCAUGAAUACAGUACAGGAACUUCAUUAUUUUCUUAGAAGACCAGAAGAUGUAUGGAGGCCGAUGGACAGAUAAGACUUUCUGUGCAAGGUGUUCCCCUCACUAGUCCUCUUCGAGAAGAUAAGUGGACGUGUUAUGCUACCUUGGAGCUCUACCAGGAUCCAGUAACUGUCUCCUUCAGAGAGAAAGAAUAAGGGUUAGAGUAAAAUGGACCAGCUAUGGGUAACCUAGGAAGACCAACACUGUGAAUUACUCUUCUUUAGCCAAAAACCUGCCUUUUAAUGCUCAUUGAGGGACAUUUAUCAAUGUUUGCUUAUGUAUUCUUUUUUUUAGUAAUUUUUUCCUUACUUUUUUUUUUCUUAUGUGUGACUUAUGAAUCAACUGGUUUCAGCCUGUUGAUAAUUUUCUUUCACGUAAGCAAUUUUUCCUUUUUUACUUUGGUAGUAGCUUUUUCUCCUCCAUGUUUGAGCUCGAGUAAAUUUAGUCAAUUUUUAACCCUGUUGCGACUUUUUUUUGCGCAGUUGCGACUGUCGCAGUUAAUAAAUACCUGACUACCCGUAGUCCAUUUUAAAAUUAUUACUAAGUAGUUAAUAUUUGGAAAACUUGCUUUUCUCGCUUUCCAGUCAAAAUGUUGCACGAAAAAUUGCGUAGUCACAGUUGCGACAAUUAUAGUAAAGAAAACCUGACUAAA